UUUAAUAUGUGACCUCAGUGUUAAGAAGAAGCACUAAGCAGCAGGAAGGGGGUAAACUUAAUUUGGUAAACUUUUAGCUGACUGGACGGUUUCGUGGUGCGUCUCAGAUGUUGGUGAGCACCGUGCUGGUCACCAUGAC
Sander lucioperca (pikeperch) is the source of this 139-nucleotide long non-coding RNA. RefSeq lists it as uncharacterized. The transcript has 4 exons. Lineage: Eukaryota; Metazoa; Chordata; Actinopteri; Perciformes; Percidae. The record is from RefSeq and is a predicted model, not a curated record.